Long non-coding RNA from Morone saxatilis (striped sea-bass), 698 nucleotides. RefSeq lists it as uncharacterized. Lineage: Eukaryota; Metazoa; Chordata; Actinopteri; Moronidae. The transcript is spliced from 4 exons. The record is from RefSeq and is a predicted model, not a curated record.
AUCAUCCAUCUAUUAUACGAUAUGUUGACUUUGCAGAAGAUGAUAACUUUGGAUAUCUCGGUCUUCAACUUUCUGAAUACACCCUGGAAGAAUACAUCAGAAAUAAAGAUGGUGGUCUACUGAUAAAGAAACUUGUCAAACAGAUUCUCAAGAGUUUAAGGGUGCUUCAUUGUCAAAAUCCUCCAAUUCUCCACCGAGAUCUCAAACCACAGAAUGUUUUGAUCGAUGUUAUCGGGAGGGUAAGAUUAGCUGAUUUUGGUAUAAGUAGACGGUUACCCAUAGGACAAACAACUUUGCACACAGGCAGUGCAGGAACUAAAUGUUGGAUGGCCAAGGAGACAUUAGACGUAAAAGUUAAAACACCAUACAAGUGGAGCACUGACAUACAGGUGGCAGGGAUGCUCAGUUAUUAUAUCCUCUCUGGAGGACACCAUCCUUUUGGCGACAAACCCUAUGAAUGUGAGUACAACAUUCACAAAGGGAAGUACAGUUUGGACCAUGUUCCAGAUGUGGUGGCAAAGGAUCUCAUCGAGUGGAUGAUCGAUGCAGAACCAAAGAACAGACCUAAAGUGGAAGAAUGCUUGAGUCAUCCCUUCUUCUGGACCACUGAAAGGAGAGUUGAAUACUUGAGAAGAGUUGGAAACAUAAAGGACGUGGAAAACUGCCGAAAUCCUGAACCGCAAUUAUUGUCUUCGCUG